Molecule: ribosomal RNA, 253 nt
Filed under: uncultured bacterium
Lineage: Bacteria
Description: partial 16S ribosomal RNA
Rfam family: Bacterial small subunit ribosomal RNA
Source: RNAcentral
UACAGGGGGUGCAAACGUUGCUCGGAAUCAUUGGGCGUAAAGCGCACGUAGGCGGUUCGUUAUGUCGGAUGUGAAAGCCCUUGGCUUAACCGAGGAAGUGCAUCCGAAACUGGCGAGCUAGAGUACGAAAGAGGAUCGCGGAAUUCCCGGUGUAGAGGUGAAAUUCGUAGAUAUUGGAAAGAACACCGAUGGCGAAGGCACUUUACUGGGCUAUUACUAACACUCAGAGACGAAAGCUAGGGUAGCAAAUGGG